This 253-nucleotide ribosomal RNA is filed under the name uncultured bacterium. RNAcentral describes it as "partial 16S ribosomal RNA". It matches the Rfam family "Bacterial small subunit ribosomal RNA", at positions 524 to 776 of the family's 1533-position model. The record is from RNAcentral.
UACAGAGGUCUCAAGCGUUGUUCGGAUUCAUUGGGCGUAAAGGGUGCGUAGGUGGCGCUGUAAGUCGGGUGUGAAAUUUCGGAGCUUAACUCCGAAACUGCAUUCGAUACUGCGGUGCUUGAGGACUGGAGAGGAGACUGGAAUUCCUGGUGUAGCAGUGAAAUGCGUAGAUAUCAGGAGGAACACCGAUGGCGAAGGCAGGUCUCUGGGCUGACACUGACGCUCAUGCACGAAAGCGUGGGGAGCAAACAGG